CAGUCGCCGCGGUAAUACGGAGGGAGCUAGCGUUGUUCGGAAUUACUGGGCGUAAAGCGCGCGUAGGCGGUUACUCAAGUCAGAGGUGAAAGCCCGGGGCUCAACCCCGGAACUGCCUUUGAAACUAGGUGACUAGAAUCUUGGAGAGGUCAGUGGAAUUCCGAGUGUAGAGGUGAAAUUCGUAGAUAUUCGGAAGAACACCAGUGGCGAAGGCGGCUCACUGGCUCAUACUGGACGCUGAGGUGCGAAAGCGUGGGGAGCAAACAGGAUUAGAUACCCCGGUAGUCCCUGUCUCUUAUAC
RNAcentral lists this ribosomal RNA (301 nucleotides) under uncultured bacterium. Its description in RNAcentral is "partial 16S ribosomal RNA". It matches the Rfam family "Bacterial small subunit ribosomal RNA", at positions 509 to 807 of the family's 1533-position model. The record is from RNAcentral.